RNAcentral lists this ribosomal RNA (550 nucleotides) under Pachypanchax playfairii (golden panchax). RNAcentral describes it as "partial 16S ribosomal RNA". It matches the Rfam family "Bacterial large subunit ribosomal RNA", at positions 1857 to 2608 of the family's 2925-position model. The record is from RNAcentral. Lineage: Eukaryota; Metazoa; Chordata; Actinopteri; Cyprinodontiformes; Aplocheilidae.
GCCUGCCUGUGACUCAUAGUUUAACGGCCGCGGUAUUUUGACCGUGCAAAGGUAGCGCAAUCACUUGUCUUUUAAAUGAAGACCUGUAUGAAUGGCAUUACGAGGGCUUAACUGUCUCUUUCCCCCUGUCAAUGAAAUUGAUCUCCCCGUGCAGAAGCGGGGAUUUAAUCAUAAGACGAGAAGACCCUAUGGAGCUUUAGACGCAAGAACAGCCAAUGUUAAGAAUUCUAAAUUAAAAGACAAAACCAAUUGAAACCUGAACUAGUGUCUUUGGUUGGGGCGACCAUAGAGCAUACAAAACCCCUAUGAAGAAUAAACAUACUAUGUUUUGAACCAAGAGUGACAACUCUAAGCAACAGAACUUCUGACCUAGUAGAUCCGGUAUUACCGAUCAACGAAACGAGUUACCCUAGGGAUAACAGCGCAAUCCCCUUUUAGAGCCCACAUCGACAAGGGGGUUUACGACCUCGAUGUUGGAUCAGGACAUCCUAAUGGUGCAGCCGCUAUUAAGGGUUCGUUUGUUCAACGAUUAAAGUCCUACGUGAUCUGA